UUCGCCUUCAUGAAGCCGGAAUUGCUAGUAAUGGCAGGUCAGCAUACUGCCGUGAAUACGUUCCCGGGCCUUGUACACACCGCCCGUCACACCAUGAGAGUUGGGAAUACCCGAAGCCUGUGAGCUAACUUUUAGAGGCAGCAGUCGGAGGUAGAAUCAAUGAUUGGGGUGAAGUCGUAACAAGGUAAC
This 189-nucleotide ribosomal RNA is filed under the name uncultured bacterium. Its description in RNAcentral is "partial 16S ribosomal RNA". It matches the Rfam family "Bacterial small subunit ribosomal RNA", at positions 1311 to 1500 of the family's 1533-position model. The record is from RNAcentral.